RNAcentral lists this long non-coding RNA (351 nucleotides) under Hordeum vulgare. RNAcentral's name for it is "long non-coding RNA (HVUL_LNC020030)". The record is from RNAcentral. Lineage: Eukaryota; Viridiplantae; Streptophyta; Magnoliopsida; Poales; Poaceae.
CACAUGGCUAGGUUCACUGAAUCUCUCCUACUCCCGGACUUAUGCACUGAACUCUCCUACAGUAUCUCUGCAGAAACUUCCAGAAACUUAGAUAAAUCGCAUAAAUCAAUUCAUACUCCUAUUAGUAUAAUCGUAUAUAUACAUUACACGCAGUGGACCCAGCAUCCAAUCGGUGAUGUCGAUCCUCGGAAAGCAAAAGCAGCUCCCACCAUCCAAGCGGCCAAAACCCAGCAGCUGCGCAUGCAGCCGCAGCAACCGAAAGAGACCGCCGAAACCAAACCCAACCCAACCCAACCACAGGAGGAGCACCUGGGGGAGGCACGCACAGCAGACCUGGCAACCAAAGCAAAG